Molecule: long non-coding RNA, 624 nt
Filed under: Anas platyrhynchos (mallard)
Lineage: Eukaryota; Metazoa; Chordata; Aves; Anseriformes; Anatidae
Description: lncRNA (ENSAPLG00020003005.1)
Source: RNAcentral
GGAGUCUCUGUGACCAUGGGGCUCUGAUUAUAAGUUGUGUCUUCACUAGAGGUAAAUAUGGUUAAUUACACAUUAGGAUCAUCUCCCUUUAAGCAAAGUAAUAGGCUGUUCGAAAUCCCAUUUGGGGAUAGUAGGAUGGUGUGUGGUAUUGGGGAAGUAUUCAAAGAUCCAGAGAGCACCAGUUGAAUUCAGACGAUUAAAUGGAUAUCAUUAGAAAAACAAAUUUUAUUAAUAUAACAUUAAAGGACAAUGAAAAUAACAAGAGAUGGAACACAAAGGCCAUAAAAUGUGUGCUAUACAUUGGAUAGGGAUAUAAAAACAUACAAUUCUAUAAAUUGAGUAAUUUUAUUGCCUUUUCAAAACAGUUUUUAGUGACAAACAGUGAUCCCAAAGGAUCACUGCAGUGGGGCUAUCUUCCAUGUUUCAAUAAGCUUUCUUUUUUUCUCUCCUUUUUCCUUUUCCUUUUGAAUGAAAUAUGUGCUCAGCGUUAAGAGUAUGAGCAGCCUCAUUGAUUGCAACAGAACUACUUAUGUGCUUAUAGAUAAGCAAGCAGGGAAGGUAUGCAAGAAUUGCCUGCUUUUUAGUAUGUAUAAAAGCCUUCAAGUAAGAGGUUGCUGCUGUUAA